GUGGCUUCGGGGCUCGAGGUCUCUGGGUCCACCUCCCAUCCGUGUCUAUCUGUACCCUGUUGCUUCGGCGUGGCCACGGCCCGCCGAAGACUAACAUUUGAACACUGUCUGAAGUUUGCAGUCUGAGUUUUUAGUUAAACAAUAAUUAAAACUUUCAACAACGGAUCUCUUGGUUCCGGCAUCGAUGAAGAACGCAGCGAAAUGCGAUAAUUAAUGUGAAUUGCAGAAUUCAGUGAAUCAUCGAGUCUUUGAACGCACAUUGCGCCCCCUGGUAUUCCGGGGGGCAUGCCUGUCCGAGCGUCAUUGCUGCCCUCAAGCACGGCUUGUGUGUUGGGCUUCCGUCCCUGGUAACGGGGACGGGCCCAAAAGGCAGUGGCGGCACCAUGUCUGGUCCUCGAGCGUAUGGGGCUUUGUCACCCGCUCCCGUAGGUCCAGCUGGCAGCUAGCCUCGCAACCAAUCUUUUUAACCAGGUUGACCUCGGAUCAGGUAGGGAUACCCGCUGAACUUAAGCAUAUCAAUAAGCGGAGGAA
Molecule: ribosomal RNA, 531 nt
Filed under: Aspergillus pseudoglaucus
Lineage: Eukaryota; Fungi; Ascomycota; Eurotiomycetes; Eurotiales; Aspergillaceae
Description: eukaryotic LSU rRNA
Rfam family: 5.8S ribosomal RNA (bases 150-303)
Source: RNAcentral